RNAcentral lists this non-coding RNA (126 nucleotides) under Capsicum annuum. RNAcentral's name for it is "Bacterial small subunit ribosomal RNA". It matches the Rfam family "Bacterial small subunit ribosomal RNA", at positions 622 to 747 of the family's 1533-position model. The record is from Rfam by way of RNAcentral. Lineage: Eukaryota; Viridiplantae; Streptophyta; Magnoliopsida; Solanales; Solanaceae.
AGGUUGUAAUACCAAAGUACUGGAGUACGGUAGGGGCAGAGGGAAUUUCCAGUGGAGCAGUGAAAUGCGUAGAGGUUUGAAAGAACACCAACAAUGAAAGCACUCUGCUGGGCUGACAUUGACACU